Molecule: long non-coding RNA, 363 nt
Filed under: Amazona collaria (yellow-billed parrot)
Lineage: Eukaryota; Metazoa; Chordata; Aves; Psittaciformes; Psittacidae
Description: lncRNA (ENSACOG00000013226.1)
Source: RNAcentral
CAUCUCCAAUGCGACCCCCCUCCAAAAUGAGAUCACCCCUCUCUGAGUAAUAAUAAUGGUAUGCAUGACUAGAGUCACUCAAGCUCCACCUUGAAGAUAAAAAAUAAUAUAAAAUGACCCAAGAGAGAGGGGGAUAUUGGGGAAGAUACCAUCGUGGAUGAGUCAAGGAAGAUAACAUCAACUGACUCCUGGGACCGGUCGAUGGGCUGUACCUCUCUUCCCCCCCCAUAGGGACGCCUGUGGGGCUCAAAGGCCAUUUGCAGAGGGAACGUCAGAGAACAGAAGCUCAGCUAUAUAAUAAUUAUUUCAUUGUAGAAAGGAAGCUGUUUUAACAGCAGCAUUUUUGGAAGAAAAAGAUAUGUU